This 1370-nucleotide ribosomal RNA is filed under the name uncultured bacterium. RNAcentral's name for it is "bacterial SSU rRNA". It matches the Rfam family "Bacterial small subunit ribosomal RNA". The record is from RNAcentral.
AGAGUUUGAUCCUGGCUCAGAACGAACGCUGGCGGCGUGGAUAAGACAUGCAAGUCGAACGAGAGAAUUGCUAGCUUGCUAAUAAUUCUCUAGUGGCGCACGGGUGAGUAACACGUGAGUAACCUGCCCCCGAGAGCGGGAUAGCCCUGGGAAACUGGGAUUAAUACCGCAUAGUAUCGAAAGAUUAAAGCAGCAAUGCGCUUGGGGAUGGGCUCGCGGCCUAUUAGUUAGUUGGUGAGGUAACGGCUCACCAAGGCGAUGACGGGUAGCCGGUCUGAGAGGAUGUCCGGCCACACUGGAACUGAGACACGGUCCAGACACCUACGGGUGGCAGCAGUCGAGAAUCAUUCACAAUGGGGGAAACCCUGAUGGUGCGACGCCGCGUGGGGGAAUGAAGGUCUUCGGAUUGUAAACCCCUGUCAUGUGGGAGCAAAUUAAAAAGAUAGUACCACAAGAGGAAGAGACGGCUAACUCUGUGCCAGCAGCCGCGGUAAUACAGAGGUCUCAAGCGUUGUUCGGAAUCACUGGGCGUAAAGCGUGCGUAGGCUGUUUCGUAAGUCGUGUGUGAAAGGCGCGGGCUCAACCCGCGGACGGCACAUGAUACUGCGAGACUAGAGUAAUGGAGGGGGAACCGGAAUUCUCGGUGUAGCAGUGAAAUGCGUAGAUAUCGAGAGGAACACUCGUGGCGAAGGCGGGUUCCUGGACAUUAACUGACGCUGAGGCACGAAGGCCAGGGGAGCGAAAGGGAUUAGAUACCCCUGUAGUCCUGGCAGUAAACGGUGCACGCUUGGUGUGCGGGGAAUCGACCCCCUGCGUGCCGGAGCUAACGCGUUAAGCGUGCCGCCUGGGGAGUACGGUCGCAAGAUUAAAACUCAAAGAAAUUGACGGGGACCCGCACAAGCGGUGGAGUAUGUGGCUUAAUUCGAUGCAACGCGAAGAACCUUACCUGGGCUUGACAUGUAAUGAACAACAUGUGAAAGCAUGCGACUCUUCGGAGGCGUUACACAGGUGCUGCAUGGCCGUCGUCAGCUCGUGUCGUGAGAUGUUUGGUUAAGUCCAGCAACGAGCGCAACCCCUGUUGCCAGUUACCAGCACGUGAAGGUGGGGACUCUGGCGAGACUGCCCAGAUCAACUGGGAGGAAGGUGGGGACGACGUCAGGUCAGUAUGGCCCUUAUGCCCAGGGCUGCACACGUACUACAAUGCCCAGUACGGAGGGGGCCGAAGCCGCGAGGCGGAGGAAAUCCUAAAAACUGGGCCCAGUUCGGACUGUAGGCUGCAACCCGCCUACACGAAGCCGGAAUCGCUAGUAAUGGCGCAUCAGCUACGGCGCCGUGAAUACGUUCCCGGGUCUUGCACUCACCGCCCGUCA